RNAcentral lists this ribosomal RNA (263 nucleotides) under uncultured bacterium. RNAcentral's name for it is "partial 16S ribosomal RNA". It matches the Rfam family "Bacterial small subunit ribosomal RNA", at positions 793 to 1055 of the family's 1533-position model. The record is from RNAcentral.
GUCCACGCCGUAAACGUUGUGAACUUGAUGUGGGGGGAUUUAGUCCCCUCCGUAUCGAAGCUAACGCGAUAAGUUCACCGCCUGGGGACUACGGCCGCAAGGCUAAAACUCAAAGGAAUUGACGGGGGCCCGCACAAGCGGUGGAGCAUGUGGCUUAAUUCGAGGCAACGCGAAGAACCUUACCUGGGCUUGAAAUAUAUUUGACAGCCGGUGAAAGCCGGUUUCUCUUCGGAGCAGAUAUACAGGUGCUGCAUGGCUGUCGU